UACGGGGGGGGUAAGCGUUGUUCGGAAUUACUGGGCGUAAAGGGCUCGUAGGCGGCCAACUAAGUCAUACGUGAAAUCCCUCGGCUUAACCGGGGAACUGCGUCCGAUACUGGAUGGCUUGAGUUUGGGAGAGGGAUGCGGAAUUCCAGGUGUAGCGGUGAAAUGCGUAGAUAUCUGGAGGAACACCGGUGGCGAAGGCGGCAUCCUGGACCAACACUGACGCUGAGGAGCGAAAGCCAGGGGAGCAAACGGG
This 253-nucleotide ribosomal RNA is filed under the name uncultured bacterium. Its description in RNAcentral is "partial 16S ribosomal RNA". It matches the Rfam family "Bacterial small subunit ribosomal RNA", at positions 524 to 776 of the family's 1533-position model. The record is from RNAcentral.